CUUACUCCUACGGGAGGCAGCAGUGGGGAAUAUUGCACAAUGGGCGGAAGCCUGAUGCAGCGACGCCGCGUGAGGGAUGACGGCCUUCGGGUUGUAAACCUCUUUCAGUAGGGAAGAAGCGAAAGUGACGGUACCUGCAGAAGAAGCGCCGGCUAACUACGUGCCAGCAGCCGCGGUAAUACGUAGGGCGCAAGCGUUAUCCGGAAUUAUUGGGCGUAAAGAGCUCGUAGGCGGUUUGUCGCGUCUGCCGUGAAAGUCCGGGGCUCAACUCCGGAUCUGCGGUGGGUACGGGCAGACUAGAGUGAUGUAGGGGAGACUGGAAUUCCUGGUGUAGCGGUGAAAUGCGCAGAUAUCAGGAGGAACACCGAUGGCGAAGGCAGGUCUCUGGGCAUUAACUGACGCUGAGGAGCGAAAGCAUGGGGAGCGAACAGGAUUAGAUACCCUGGUAGUCCAUGCCGUAAACGUUGGGCACUAGGUGUGGGGGACAUUCCACGUUUUCCGCGCCGUAGCUAACGCAUUAAGUGCCCCGCCUGGGGAGUACGGCCGCAAGGCUAAAACUCAAAGGAAUUGACGGGGGCCCGCACAAGCGGCGGAGCAUGCGGAUUAAUUCGAUGCAACGCGAAGAACCUUACCAAGGCUUGACAUGAACCGGUAAGACCCUGAAAUCAC
RNAcentral lists this ribosomal RNA (669 nucleotides) under Arthrobacter sp. RNAcentral describes it as "bacterial SSU rRNA". It matches the Rfam family "Bacterial small subunit ribosomal RNA", at positions 332 to 1009 of the family's 1533-position model. The record is from RNAcentral. Lineage: Bacteria; Bacillati; Actinomycetota; Actinomycetes; Micrococcales; Micrococcaceae.